AUUCCAGUGAGGAGAUGAGAAAGCCAAGAGGAGCAGCAAAGAGCAACAGCUUGUAGGCCCUUGGGUUGGGCUAUCCUCAGAAGCACGUAAGUGCCCUGUGUCUGGGGUACCCAGUGUCCAGAAGUAGCCUGUGAAAUGAGGCACAGCACCUGGCCAAGCUUAUCCCAUUUUUCCCUCCCGGCAGCCCUGUGAUAGCUUUUUGGAAUUCAGAACGUGGCUGUUGCCAGGUGGGGCCGGCCGGGGGCCAGCAAGCUGCUGCUUGCACCUCAGAAGAUCCCACGUUAGAACCGAAGGGGAAACCUUUCCGUAGGCUGUGCAGGUAAUAGCGACUCUUAAGAGGCCUCCCAUCCCACUUUUGCCCUGCUCCAAAAUGAAAAUGUAUUUAGGUCUGUUCCUGGGAAACAUCUUACACUGGCUCCCCAAGCUCUCCUAAGGAAGUCGGAGCUGACCCCCAGGCCAGGCAUCUGCGUGUGAGACCAGAUCCCUCUGCUCUAGGCCAACCGACAGCUGCUCAAGGUGAAUGGCCAGCACCGGUCUUCGCUUCAUUGUUUGUGUGCGUCUCCUCCUGCCAUUGGAACUCCUUAAGGGCUGAAGUUUUUACUUGCUUCCUGUGCUUGUGUGCCGACCGUGCUGUGCUAGGCCUGGCACACAGGCCCUCAAUAAA
Panthera uncia (snow leopard) is the source of this 664-nucleotide long non-coding RNA. RefSeq lists it as uncharacterized. The transcript has 5 exons. The record is from RefSeq and is a predicted model, not a curated record. NCBI's taxonomy places the organism in Eukaryota, Metazoa, Chordata, Mammalia, Carnivora, Felidae.